GAUGAACGCUGGUGGCGUGCCUAACACAUGCAAGUCGAGCGAUUCUCUUCGGAGAAGAGCGGCGGACGGGUGAGUAACGCGUGGGUAACCUGCCCUGUACACACGGAUAACAUACCGAAAGGUAUGCUAAUACGAGAUAACAUGCUUUUAUCGCAUGGUAGAAGUAUCAAAGCUUUUGCGGUACAGGAUGGACCCGCGUCUGAUUAGCUAGUUGGUGAGGUAACGGCUCACCACGGCGACGAUCAGUAGCCGACCUGAGAGGGUGAUCGGCCACAUUGGAACUGAGACACGGUCCAAACUCCUACGGGAGGCAGCAGUGGGGAAUAUUGCACAAUGGGCGAAAGCCUGAUGCAGCAACGCCGCGUGAGCGAUGAAGGCCUUCGGGUCGUAAAGCUCUGUCCUCAAGGAAGAUAAUGACGGUACUUGAGGAGGAAGCCCCGGCUAACUACGUG
Molecule: ribosomal RNA, 452 nt
Filed under: uncultured bacterium
Lineage: Bacteria
Description: partial 16S ribosomal RNA
Rfam family: Bacterial small subunit ribosomal RNA
Source: RNAcentral